Aquila chrysaetos chrysaetos is the source of this 2497-nucleotide long non-coding RNA. RefSeq lists it as uncharacterized. The record is from RefSeq and is a predicted model, not a curated record. The transcript has 6 exons. Lineage: Eukaryota; Metazoa; Chordata; Aves; Accipitriformes; Accipitridae.
CCCGUGUUUGAGCCAGCCUAGAUCUGUUCUGCUUUACUGCUUUAUGUAGUCUCCCCAGUUUCAACAGGGAUGCCCUUCUGAGGAAGACCACAUGAAACCAGUGGAUACUCUUCCAGUGGAGCAAAUUCUUUUCCCAGCACUCUCAAUGGAUAAACAAAUUUCAAGUGAGAUUGAGACUAUUUAGGAUCCUUUCUGGUUCAGUUGUGCACGUAUGGACUGAUGCCAAUGGAACCAAUGGAAUGUCUCUGGAUAUACAUUCACUGUGACUGAGGUACCAUGAUGAUUUGAAUGAGUUAAAGUAUCUGCAUGAAGAACUGGGGGGCACGGGGGGCAAAUAGGAAAGCUGUGGCAAGGCAGAAAAUAAUGUCCCUAAAAAUCCAGAUUGAGAUGUCUUGGGUCAUGAUGACAUUUCGGGAGUAUUCAGAAGCAAAAGAGGAAGUCAUUACAUCUGCAGUUCACCUGCAAAGAAGAUGUCAUUAAAAGAGGAAGCAAAAUGAACCCCUGUCAACUUGUUAGGGCCCAAAAGCUCCAAGGUGUCACAAGCUGAUUCUCUGCAACACAUUUCAAUAUGGGUAUUAUAACAACUCAUCUGAUACUGAUCUUAAUGGAUUUUUGAACUGCUAAUAUUUCAGACUUGAACUGCGUGUACUUCAAUUGAUGAUCUGAGCAUUCCACAAAUACCAGAACUAGCAUGUUUACUGCCCUGCAGUUGAUUGAUAUCUCCUAAUGAAGAAAGGACCUGGGAAAAUGAUAAAGGAAAGUUACUAAUUGGUUUAACUUAGGUCAGCCACUUCAUAUUUUAUAAAUGAGGAAACUUUUCAGGAAUUGCUGCUGGAAGCCAUCUGCUAACUAAAUAAAAAUGAAUUAUAAUCUUCAGGUUCCACAUGCCAUUUACAGAAAGUAUCAGAAAAAAAACCAAAACAACUGCUUACUUAAAAGUAAGAGCAAUGCAGGAACUCCAAUUCAAAGGCCCUAAUAAUCGUCUAUGUAAUAUAAAGUGUUAAUCAGUUUGGUAUACACGGACCUGUCAGCAGUUCUGGAUCCAUUCACUAUAUAUCAGAGACUACUUGUGGUCACUUUUAAGAGCUGCCAGUAGAAUUUACAAUAGCAAAUUAUGAUUUAUUAUUUCUUCCAGGAUAUCUGAUGUUUCUGUUCCCAAUCCUGCUUCCCUCAUCAUCAUCCUUUUUCCAGCUAAGACUGUAUGAGGCUGGGAAAUGUUCAGGAUGUGUGUAUUUCUCUUGUAUUGUGCAUAUUUUUGCAAGUCAUUAAACCUUUGUUUCUUGUCUUUUCUAACCUUCUUAGUAACCUAUCUAAACAACUCUCAAAGGAAAAUGAGUCAAUCAGGAAAGAGACAGCCCUAGUGCCAAAGCAAAAAAACCCCAUAGAAAUAGAAAUAAAAUUAGAAAAGGGAAAAGCUUUCACUUCAGGAAUGCAAGUACAACUUGGGCCUUGCUCCUUUAAAGUCAUACACUAUGUUUUAAUUUAUUUCUACUGCAUGUGCAAUUCUAUUGAAUCUGAAAGGCUACUCAUGUGCAUAAAAUUAAGCACACUGAAGAAUGUGGCAAUACUUCAAGCUACAUUUUAAUAUGAAGAAUGCUACAUAAGCAUAAUAGUAUGUGAUUCUUCUUAGUUUGUAAGUUCAAAAUCAAGACCUGCAGAAAAUCUGUAUGCUGCUUUGUACAAGUAAUUGCUAGAAACCACAUCUUUCUAUAACAAGGGCCCAUACUGUUUACCAUGUUGGCAUGGCAGUCCUGAGAAAAUUAAAUUUCCUUCACCAUAAAGACACACUUUCUUCCUGUGUUAGCAGUACUUUGCUUGGUUGUAUUACAUGCAGCAGGCAUAAUUUACUCCGGACCAUUUAGAACAACUCAGUUUAAGCAAUGCUGGGCAUUUUGUCAGGGUGACAAAGGGGAAUUACAUUGCACCCAUAUAUGGUAGACAAUGCAUGGACAACAUGUAAUAUUCUCUGUGGGUAAAGUUCAGUUCUGGGCAGAAAGCCAACAAAAGGCUCAUGCACCGCUUAAGUCCCACUUAAACCCUAUUUUGAAGGCUUAAUAGUACAUAGGCCGUGUUCUGGCCUCUUGCCCAGAAGUGAAUUUUACCAUGUUAGCGUCCCCUCUCCCCGCAUGCAAAGGGGGCAGAAGGGCAAAGCUUUUGUGCUGGGCAGUGAACUGAUUUCUGGAAGACACCACUGGUCUCCUCUAGUCUAAAAAAAGCAACAAAUUCAUAGAACAUCAUCUAUCCUGGUUUAUGGCUAAUCCACCCUCCCUGAUGUAGCAAGAGGUUACAUCGUGCCAAUAGUUCUGUCCUACAGAGCCAGGAAUCUACCUAACGAUUGACGCAUAGCUGGUAUUGAAAUUUCUCUCUGUGGCUGUCCUGCACUGUUAAAGAUCUUCAUCUGUCCUUUUCCAAGCUUGGAUUAAUUUUACCCUUUUGGUGAUCAUUAAGAAAAUUAGAAAAUUUUAUCCCCAUCAUUUUAAAGAUUUCUGAGAUCACU